GGGAAUCCCAGAGUUUAUACAAGAUACAAGAAAAAGGGCAAUUCAUCUUUCACCGUGGUGUUUUGAAUCUCGCUUCAGCUUCUCAAUAUCAACAUGGAUUCCACUCUUCUCCUGAAUCUUCUUUUACAGCUGGUGCUUAUGGGCGCAGUGUGCGGCAUCCCUCACUGUAAACCUGACUGUGAGCUAACCAGUGAAUAUCACCGGUCGGACUUCAAACAUAUCUCAGAGUUCCAAAACUCUUCGGUGGCACCCUGGAAAAUGAGUGUUGACGCUGUAGAUAACAGGGAACCUUCAUUCAUCGAGUAUGCUGAAUGCAAGGAUUGCACUUUGAAGAACCUGGUCUCCAAGCCUAUCAUGAUCCAGGUUUUCGUCUUUGAGAAGAUACGCAUCAUGACUGGAUCUGCCUGGUGCAAGUGUCCCUUUAAUCUGGCUGUGGGAUGUACAUGUGUCGAGAAACAAUGAUGAAUUGAUGUAUCUUAUUGCCAUGCAAUAACUCUAUAAUAUGUUCUUUUCACCUGCAAAUUCAUAAGAGGCUUUGUUGGGGAUUCUGAUUUUGUGGAGAGAAAUGUUAUGUUACCUACUUUACAUUUUUGUUGUAUCAUGUAGUGUGCAACAAGUACUUACUACUUUAGUAUAAACUACAGAAUAUUUGUGUUUAAUACAAAUGUGAAAACUA
Molecule: long non-coding RNA, 676 nt
Organism: Eleginops maclovinus (Patagonian blennie)
Lineage: Eukaryota; Metazoa; Chordata; Actinopteri; Perciformes; Eleginopidae
Exons: 3
Source: RefSeq, a predicted model, not a curated record